UCAUGUUUAAUUAUUUCUCAAGCUGCCGUUCAGCUGAAGAGAAGAACAAUAAAGCAGUGGUUGCUGCUGUUGUCUUGAGUGAGUUAUGCCACUCCUCUCUACGGGAUCUGAACCAGUGAAGACCUUUUUUAUGCUGUUUUUUCCUGCACUGAUUUACAGUUUCUUCUCAUGACAAAUCUUUCAGAAGUGGCAGCACACAGAAAAUGGUACGUCAUGCAAAGAUGUCAAAUGCGCUGCUGACUGUCUUGCUCUUCUUAUUUCCAAUGCGGCUAUCAGGACAUUGGUUUCCCAAAACUUUACCCUGUGAUGUGGAAGCCUUUGAAGGUACUGUGAGAGUAGACUGCAGCGAUCGUCACCUCACGGAAGUCCCCAGAGGGAUCCCUGGAAACGCUACUAACCUGACCCUGACUAUUAACCGUAUCCCCCAUAUCUCUCCAGCAUCCUUUAUUCAGCUUGAAAACCUUGUGGAGAUUGACUUCAGAUGCAACUGCGUGCCUCCCAGACUGGGGCCCAAAGACAGUGUGUGCACCACACCACCAUCAAUUGAGAAUGGCAGUUUUGCCGCUCUGACAAGACUGAAGUCAUUGUAUUUGGAUGCAAACCAACUGUCAGAAAUACCCCAGGGUCUUCCUGCUAGUCUACGACUGCUGAGUCUGGAAGCAAACAAAAUUUUUUCUAUUAAAAAAAACACUUUUUCAGGGCUAAGAAAUAUAGAAUUACUGUAUCUGGGACAGAAUUGUUACUACCGUAAUCCGUGCAAUGUUUCUUUUGAAAUUGAAGAAACAGCCUUUCUGAAUCUGAAAAAUUUGACAGUACUCUCCCUGAAGUCUAACAACUUAACUUUUAUUCCACCCAACUUGUCUUCAACUUUAAAAGAAUUGUAUAUUUACAAUAACAGAAUUCAAGAGGUUCAGGAACAUGAUUUAAGUACCCUUCACAACCUAGAAAUUCUUGAUCUCAGUGGCAAUUGCCCACGUUGCUAUAAUGCCCCAUAUCCUUGUACUCCCUGCCCUAAUAUCUCAAUUAAGAUUCAUUCAAAGGCUUUUUAUUCCUUGAAAAAAUUAAGAAUUUUGAGGCUUCACAGUAACUCUCUUCGGAGUAUACCAAGCAGCUGGUUUAAAAACAUCAAGAAUCUCAAAGAUCUUGACCUCUCCCAAAACUUCCUCAUAAAGGAGAUUGGAGACGCUCAGUUUUUGAAGCUUAUCCCCAGUCUUGUAGAGCUGGAUCUGUCCUUUAAUUUUGAAUUGCAGAUGUAUUCUCCAUCCUUGAAUCUGUCUAAGACAUUUUCCUCCCUCUCUAACCUGGAAACCCUAAGAAUCAAGGGUUAUGUCUUUAAAGAACUGAGAGAAGGAAAUCUAGACCCAUUACUCGGUCUUAGAAAUCUGACAGUGUUGGAUCUUGGGACUAAUUUUAUUAAAAUUGCUGACCUAAGAGUGUUCAAGAAAUUCCAAGCUCUCAAAAUCAUAGAUCUCUCAGUGAAUAAAAUUUCUCCUUCUUCAGGUGAAAAUAACUUCUAUGGAUUUUGCUCUGAUCCCAGGAUUACAGUAGAGCAAUACAGCAGGCAAGUUUUACAAGAGAUGCAUUACUUUAGGUAUGAUGAGUAUGGUCGAAGUUGCAAGUCCAAAGACAAAGAGGCUGAUUCCUACCAACCUUCGGUCAAUGAAGAUUGCAUGAAUUAUGGAAAAACUCUAGAUUUAAGCAGAAACAACAUAUUUUUUGUUAACUCUGUAGACUUCCAGGAUCUUAGUUUCCUCAAAUGCCUCAACUUGUCAGGUAAUGCCAUAAGUCAAACUUUAAAUGGAAGCGAAUUCUGCUACCUGUCUGGAUUGAAAUAUCUGGAUUUUUCUAACAACAGGAUUGAUUUGCUAUACUCAACUGCUUUCAAAGAGCUGAAAUUUUUAGAAAUUCUAGAUCUGAGCAAUAACAAACAUUACUUUCUGGCAGAAGGUGUUAGUCAUGUGCUUAGUUUUAUGAAAAACUUGGCCUAUCUGAAGAAGCUGAUGAUGAAUGAGAAUGAGAUUUCUACCUCUAUUAGCAUGGGGAUGGAAAGUCAAUCUCUUAAAACUUUAGAAUUUCGGGGAAAUCGUUUAGAUAUUUUUUGGGCAGAUGGAAAGACUGAAUAUCUGUCAUUCUUCAAGAAUCUGACCAAACUGGAACAACUGGAUAUUUCCUCUAACAUGCUCAGCUUUUUACCUCCUGAUGUUUUUUCAGCUAUGCCUCCAGAACUCAAGAUACUGAACUUAACCAGUAACAGGUUGAAGACAUUCAAUUGGGGAAAACUCUACUUAUUGACCAGGCUAAUAACUCUGGACCUCAGCAAUAACCUUCUGACUACUGUUCCCCGAAAGCUGUCCAAUUGCACUUCAACUCUUCAAGAACUGAUACUCCGAAACAAUCGUAUUACACGGAUAACCAAAUAUUUUCUCAGAGGUGCCAUUACGUUGUCAUACUUGGACCUCAGCUCAAACAAGAUCCAAAUAAUUAAGAAAUCUAGCUUCCCUGAAAAUAUCAUAAACAACCUGAGGAUGCUGCUUUUGCACAACAAUCCUUUCAAGUGCAACUGUGAUGCAGUGUGGUUUGUUGGGUGGAUCAAUCAGACUGACGUGACAAUUCCUCUUCUGGCCACAGAUGUGACCUGUGCUGGCCCAGGGGCACACAAAGGAAGGAGCUUGGUUUUCCUGGAUCUGAAUACCUGUGAGCUGGACACAUCCUAUUUGAUCAUGUAUGCUUUAUCAACUUCAGCUGUCCUAAGUUUAAUAACGUUUGCAGUUAUGAGUCACCUCUAUUUCUGGGAUGUGUGGUAUAGCUAUCAUUACUGCACUGCCAAGUUGAAAGGCUAUAGACGUUUACCUUUACCAGAUGCCUGCUAUGAUGCUUUUAUUGCCUAUGACAAUACUGAUCUGGCUGUGAAUGAAUGGGUGAUGACAGAAUUGGUUGAAAAGCUGGAAGAUCAAAAAGCCAGACAGUUCAAUUUAUGCUUGGAAGAAAGAGACUGGCUUCCAGGACAGCCAGUCUUUGACAACCUUUCCCAGAGUAUUCAACUGAGCAAAAAGACCAUAUUUGUGCUGACCAACAAGUAUAUUAAAAGUGGCACUUUCAAGACAACAUUUUACAUGGCCCACCAACGACUUCUAGAUGAAAAAAUUGAUGUGAUUAUCUUGAUAUUUCUUGAGAAAGUAUUACAGAAGUCCCGAUAUGUUCGGCUGAGGAAGAGGCUGUGCAGAAGUUCUGUUCUGGAAUGGCCAACUAACCCUCGAUCUCAGCCUUACUUCUGGCAGUGUCUGAAAAAUGCCAUAGCUGUGAACAACACCCUGGCUUACAACAAACUUCUCCAGGAGACUGUUUAGCUUUACUGCUCCCUGUAAAAUACUGUUACUGUGUGUGGUGAGGAAAAGAUACUGAACUUGCUAUAGAGAAAAUGUGAAAGUGGAGAGGAUAAAUGUAAUUGUGAUAUGAUUCUCAAAAAUGAAAUGCACAAUCUGUUCCAAAGAUACUAAUUCAAUUGUUUCGCUAUGACAACAUUAAAUAUAAACUGUUGCCAGCACAGAUGCUUAGCUGAUGCACACCUCAUUUAACAUUUGCAGCAAGAGAAGAUGCAACAGAGUCACCACUCCCUGUUUCAGUUCAUUGGAGAACAUCUGACAUCACCUGGCUGGGUCAAGUGUGAGUGAGACAAUUGAUCAGCUCAAUCUAGUUCCCAAGAUGCUAUGAGGAGUUCAGUCAUGCUUGAGAUUGCUGCUGUUUGGAUCACUGUUGGAGUAAAUGUAAUUUUAAUAGAAAAAUAUUGUUAAUGCAUUUGUGUGUAUUUGUGAAAAUGGGAAAAAACACAAAAUGUUGAUUUCAGAAAAUACUUUAGGUGAAUUUCAUGUUUAGGAGUUGGGGAAAUGUAUGCAUGAUUAACUCUGCAACUCAGGCUUCCAUCUGCUGAGCCUACCAGUUCUGCUUGACGGGGCAACAGCGCUAGCCACUGGGGAGAUGAUAUGCUGGUGGAACUUAUGGCAGAAGCUUGGAUGAGGUAUGGGAGAUCUCCCAUUUCCCACUGCUGCAUUGUCACAAAGGUUGUAAAUCAGAAAAGAUUUUGAAGAACUUGCAUGUACCAAAAUGGGAAAGUGUGAGAGAAGAGAAACAAGUCAGAAGAGCUUGCAAGCUGUGGAUCAGGAGGAAUUACAACAUUAUUCUCACUCAUCACUUACUUAGAAUAUUUGAGAUCCACAGGUCUAUGUGGAAGAACUAUAUUCAGACAAGACUAUACUUUUGAACGUUGCAGCUCAAUGCUCCAUCCCACUCAUAAUAAAAUCUUAUAACUUAA
Molecule: RNA transcript, 4309 nt
Organism: Centrocercus urophasianus (Greater sage-grouse)
Lineage: Eukaryota; Metazoa; Chordata; Aves; Galliformes; Phasianidae
Gene name: toll-like receptor 7
Exons: 3
Source: RefSeq, a predicted model, not a curated record